This 436-nucleotide long non-coding RNA is filed under the name Pan troglodytes (chimpanzee). RNAcentral describes it as "long non-coding RNA NONPTRT013434". Lineage: Eukaryota; Metazoa; Chordata; Mammalia; Primates; Hominidae. The record is from RNAcentral.
ACAUUAGUUGAAUAUACCAAUAACGACUUAGAAUUUCACUGGGUACAAGAAGAAUGAGUGGGUCUUUCUAACCUUAAUUCAUGAGCUUGCUACAGAGUAUUAUGCAUUAAUGAUAUAUAAUAUAUAUGAAAGCAAUUCAUGAGCUUAAUGUAGUAUAAAAUGUAAAGCUAUUUUAUUAUUUCUAUGUGUAGCUCUAUACACUAGCACCUAAAUCAUUUUUCAUGCACGUUACAUACAAUUAAACAGAAAUAUAAAAUAUACUUAAUUUUAGGUUUUCAUAUGUGUGCUAUUAGCUAAAACAUAAAAAUGGAGAGUUAUGCUCUUUAUUAAGAAAUCUACUGCCUAAUAACAUCUUCCCAUUUUAUUGUAAUUCAAACAAAAAUAGUCUUACAUUAGGAAAGUUUAAAAUGCUCAAUAGUACAUUGUAAAAAGUAAA